CAGCAGCCACGGUAAUACAGAGGGUGCGAGCGUUAAUCGGAUUUACUGGGCGUAAAGCGUGCGUAGGCGGCUUCUUAAGUCGGAUGUGAAAUCCCUGAGCUUAACUUAGGAAUUGCAUUCGAUACUGGGAAGCUAGAGUAUGGGAGAGGAUGGUAGAAUUCCAGGUGUAGCGGUGAAAUGCGUCGAGAUCUGGAGGAAUACCGAUGGCGAAGGCAGCCAUCUGGCCUAAUACUGACGCUGAGGUACGAAAGCAUGGGGAGCAAACAGGAUUAGACCCCCGUAGUCCCUGUCUCUUAUACAC
This 301-nucleotide ribosomal RNA is filed under the name uncultured bacterium. Its description in RNAcentral is "partial 16S ribosomal RNA". It matches the Rfam family "Bacterial small subunit ribosomal RNA", at positions 509 to 809 of the family's 1533-position model. The record is from RNAcentral.